Molecule: long non-coding RNA, 1182 nt
Organism: Cyprinus carpio carpio
Lineage: Eukaryota; Metazoa; Chordata; Actinopteri; Cypriniformes; Cyprinidae
Source: Ensembl
UGAUGAUGCUGGAUGUGUUGCUGCCGACACGUACUGCCUGAGGUCUUCCAGACGGUAGUCAUUGAAGCAGGAUGGAGAUGGCUUCUUCGGGACUGGAAUGAUGGUGGUAGCUUUGAAGCAUGUGGGAACAACAGCCUGACUAAGUGAGAUGUUGAAAAUGUCUGUGAAGACAUCAGUGAGUUCUGCUGCACAGUCUCUCAGUACAUGCCCAGGAAUGUUGUCAGGACCCGGAGCUUUGCGUGCAUUGAUCCUGCUGAAGGAUCUCCUCACGCUGUCCGGGGUCAGCAUCAUCACCUGGUCACUGGGAGGAGGUGGAGUCUUCUGUGCAGUGGAGCUGUUUUGUGCCUCAAAGCGAGCGAAGAAGGUGUUCAGCUCGUUCAGCAGAGAGAUGUUGCUGUCACGGGUCCGCUGUGGGGGCUUGUAGUCCGUAAUGGUCUGUAUCCCCUGCCACAGGCUCCGAGUGUCUGUGCUGUCACUGAAUUGAUGGGCUAUCCUCCUGGAGUACUGUCUCUUAGCCUCUCUGAUGCCGCAGUAUAGGUUGGCCCUGGCUGUUCUCAGGCCCCCCUCAUCUCCAGCUCUGAAGGCAGCAUUCCGCGUCUCCAGGAGUCUGUAGACCUCCCCUGUCAUCCACGGCUUCUGGUUGGCCCGGACAGUGAUGGUUUUUGUGACUGUUACAUCCUCAAUACACUUGGUGAUGUAGGCAGUGACAGUCUCCGAGUACUCCUGGAGGUCAGUGGUGUUAUUGUAAGUGGCAGCCUGCUUAAACAUAUUCCAGUCAGAUGUAUCAAAGCAGUCUUGAAGAGCGUCAGACGACCCUUCUGGCCACACUUGAAUCUAGCCGGCACUUAAUAAUCAUAAACUCCACCAGGGGUGAGCAGUGUUUGCAGAUCACAACAGCAUCACGGCACCACACGUCAUUGAUGUAAACACAAAGCCCGCUGCCGCGGGUUUUUCCUCCCGCGACGCGAGCUCUGUCUGCUCGAUAGCACGUCAGCUGGUCGAGCUGAAUGGCGCAGUCUGGAACGCUGUCGCUGAGCCAUGUUUCCGUGAAUACAAACACACAACAGUCUCUUACAGUCCUUUGAGUUGAACGUAGUAAUCGGAUGUAGUCCAGUUUAUUGUCCAAAGAGCGUACAUUAGCCAGUACGAUGGUGGGGAUAGAUGGCUUGUCUGGGUUAGCCG